RNAcentral lists this unclassified non-coding RNA (203 nucleotides) under Melitaea cinxia (Glanville fritillary). RNAcentral describes it as "misc RNA ENSMCXG00005015432.1". The record is from RNAcentral. Lineage: Eukaryota; Metazoa; Arthropoda; Insecta; Lepidoptera; Nymphalidae.
GAACGGAUUUCACGAAAUUCAACCCCUAAGGGGUAAAACGGGGGUUGGAAGUUUGUAUGAAAGUCCUAUGUUUUUGAAUUAAGAGACUUGAAAUUUAAAAUGUACGCUCUAUAGAUGGUGAGAAGGUGUCCAAAUAAUGUAUCUUUAGAAAUCAACUCCCUUUUGGGGUUAAAACGGGGGAUGGUAGGUUGACUCACUCAUCA